UACGUAGGGGGCAAGCGUUAUCCGGAUUUACUGGGUGUAAAGGGAGCGUAGGCCGGCUUUUAAGUCAGCUGUGAAAGUCCGCGGCUCAACCGUGGAAUUGCAGUUGAAACUGGAGGCCUUGAGUGCACACAGGGGUGCCGGAAUUCAUGGUGUAGCGGUGAAAUGCUUAGAUAUAACUUAGAACCCCGAUAGCGAAGGCAGCUUACCAGACUGUUACUGACGCUGAAGCACGAGAGCGUGGGUAGCGAACAGG
RNAcentral lists this ribosomal RNA (253 nucleotides) under uncultured bacterium. RNAcentral describes it as "partial 16S ribosomal RNA". It matches the Rfam family "Bacterial small subunit ribosomal RNA", at positions 524 to 776 of the family's 1533-position model. The record is from RNAcentral.